Non-coding RNA from Riemerella anatipestifer RA-CH-1, 400 nucleotides. It matches the Rfam family "transfer-messenger RNA". From Rfam's summary of the family: Bacterial tmRNA, also known as 10Sa RNA or SsrA, is named for its dual tRNA and mRNA-like properties. Its role is to liberate the mRNA from a stalled ribosome. The record is from Rfam. NCBI's taxonomy places the organism in Bacteria, Pseudomonadati, Bacteroidota, Flavobacteriia, Flavobacteriales, Weeksellaceae.
GGGGCUGACUGGUUUCGACAGCAAGGUCAGUAGGUAAGUAAGCAUGCAGAGAACCGUAGCGCGAUCUCUUUAAUCCCUUGCUACAAAGUUUAACUGGCAACGAAGAGUUUGCUCUUGCUGCUUAAUCCGAAGUAUUAGUAGGAUAAGCCUUUUCCCGAAGUAUAGUAAGGAAACAAGAUGUCUCACGGAAGCUCUGUUCUGCGGCGUCCGAGUAUGAGGCAUAGGAAAUGCGGAAAUAAGCCUUUAGAAGCUUUGGCUAAAGGACGAAAACCUUAAAAGAUAAGCAUAAAGUUGGCGGUCUGUUGUCUGCUUUAUGACGAAAACUAAAAAUAGACUAAGCAUGUAGAAAGCUUGCGUAUUGCUUGUUUGGACGAGGGUUCGAAUCCCUCCAGCUCCACAA